This 300-nucleotide ribosomal RNA is filed under the name Triticum aestivum (bread wheat). RNAcentral's name for it is "partial small subunit ribosomal RNA". The record is from RNAcentral. Lineage: Eukaryota; Viridiplantae; Streptophyta; Magnoliopsida; Poales; Poaceae.
AUGACCUCGAGCCACACAACCUGCAAAUUGGUGGAUGGGUUGGUAUCCUCUGGUUUGAUCCCAGCAAGAGGAAGUGUUCUCUUCUCUUUAUCAACCAAAGGCACUUUCUUCUCUCAUGGAUGGAUGGGACUCCAUCAAUUUAGUAUCAGUUUAGGUGUUAGUAUGCUGUUGAUGCUUGUGUUGAUGCCAUGGUUUUUGUCUUGUCAUGUGCUGAUAUUAACUGGCAGCAUGAGCUCCCAUGAUUGCUUGCUUUCUUACUCUAUAACCUGUACAGCUAAAACAUGUUAUCCUACUCCAUGA